This 68-nucleotide transfer RNA is filed under the name Marmota monax (woodchuck). Its description in RNAcentral is "tRNA.Thr". Lineage: Eukaryota; Metazoa; Chordata; Mammalia; Rodentia; Sciuridae. The record is from RNAcentral.
GGCGUAUAGCUCAGUGGUAGAGCAUGUACUUAGUGUGUUUGAGGUUCUAGGUUCAAGCCCCAGCACCA